UGGUUCUGGCAUNGAUGAAGAACGCAGCGAAAUGCGAUAAGUAAUGUGAAUUGCAGAAUUCAGUGAAUCAUCGAAUCUUUGAACGCACAUUGCGCCCCUCGGUAUUCCGGGGGGCAUGCCUGUCCGAGCGUCAUUGCACCCCUCAAGCGUAGCUUGGUGUUGGGCGUCGGCUCCCUGCCAAGGGCCGUGCCUGAAAAGUAUCGGCGGUCCGGGACGACUCUUGAACGUAGUAAAUCUCCUCGCUCAGAGAGCUCGCACCGUGGCCAGCCUAGCGCUAUGUGAAUUUCCUGACGAUUGACCUCGGAUCAGGUAGGGAUACCCGCUGA
This 326-nucleotide unclassified non-coding RNA is filed under the name uncultured fungus. RNAcentral's name for it is "partial contains 5.8S ribosomal RNA and internal transcribed spacer 2". The stretch from base 1 to 133 matches the Rfam family "5.8S ribosomal RNA", at positions 22 to 154 of the family's 154-position model. The record is from RNAcentral. Lineage: Eukaryota; Fungi.